This 582-nucleotide ribosomal RNA is filed under the name uncultured bacterium. Its description in RNAcentral is "partial 16S ribosomal RNA". It matches the Rfam family "Bacterial small subunit ribosomal RNA", at positions 355 to 931 of the family's 1533-position model. The record is from RNAcentral.
UGGGGAAUUUUGGACAAUGGGCGAAAGCCUGAUCCAGCAAUGCCGCGUGUGUGAAGAAGGCCUUCGGGUUGUAAAGCACUUUUGUCCGGAAAGAAAUCCUUGGCUCUAAUACAGUCGGGGGAUGACGGUACCGGAAGAAUAAGCACCGGCUAACUACGUGCCAGCAGCCGCGGUAAUACGUAGGGUGCAAGCGUUAAUCGGAAUUACUGGGCGUAAAGCGUGCGCAGGCGGUUUGCUAAGACCGAUGUGAAAUCCCCGGGCUCAACCUGGGAACUGCAUUGGUGACUGGCAGGCUAGAGUAUGGCAGAGGGGGGUAGAAUUCCACGUGUAGCAGUGAAAUGCGUAGAGAUGUGGAGGAAUACCGAUGGCGAAGGCAGCCCCCUGGGCCAAUACUGACGCUCAUGCACGAAAGCGUGGGGAGCAAACAGGAUUAGAUACCCUGGUAGUCCACGCCCUAAACGAUGUCAACUAGUUGUUGGGGAUUCAUUUCCUUAGUAACGUAGCUAACGCGUGAAGUUGACCGCCUGGGGGGUACGGUCGCAAGAUUAAAACUUAAUGAAUUGACGGGUCAUAGCUGUUUCC